Molecule: long non-coding RNA, 312 nt
Organism: Vidua macroura (Pin-tailed whydah)
Lineage: Eukaryota; Metazoa; Chordata; Aves; Passeriformes; Viduidae
Exons: 3
Source: RefSeq, a predicted model, not a curated record
CCCUCACAGCAUUACAGCCAUUCACCGGUGUCUCCCCAGCCCAGGCUCACAAUGCCCAAGCCCCCUUUGUGCCAAUGCCACUACAGGCCCUCCCCAAAGCUCAAGCAGAAAAGCAGUUUUCUAAACUUCACUGAGAGGACAGGAGGCUCCUGAAGACCCCUUUCCCAGCAGUACAACCACUCUUGCCAGAGGAGAUGUGACUGAAUUCCGUCCCACACAACCUGGCUGGCAAGGCUACACAGAGUUUCUGGCUUGCCAAGGAAAAUUGGAGAAGGAAGAUUUCACCACCAAUUCCUUUUCAGCAAAAUAAAU